AUCCGGCAUUGUCAUUGCUGUGGCUUGAGUCACUCCUGUGGCACAGGUUUGAUCCCUGGCCUGAGAACUUCCACAUGCUGAGAGUAUAGAUAAAUAAAUAAAUAACCUAACUGCUAAACCUAGUAUAUUGGGGAGUAGCUUAUUAAACAAGAGGGACUUGGAAGUUUCCAGCUCCAAAAAUCUGUCAUCUCACUUUUUCAGCCCCAUGGCUGAACUCUGAACAAUUUCUUUUUUUUUUUUUUUUUUCUUUUGUCUUUUUUAAGGCUGCACCCAAGGCAUAUGGAAGUUCCCAGGCUAGGGGUCUAAUUGGAGCUGUAGCUGCCAGCCUACACCACAGCCACAGCAAUGCAGGAUCCGAGCCAUGUCUGCGACCUACAACACAGUUCAUGGCCACACCAGAUCUUAAACCCACUGAUCGAGGCCAGGGAGCAAACCUGUAUCAACCAUUUCGAUCAUGUUUCUAAGUACUUUUAGGUUAUUAAUGAAUAUCUCCAUUUUUUCCAGGUUAUCCAAAGUCUAGCGUCAUCUGAUAUCAGAACACUAAGCUCUUAUCCAGUUUCUACUUCUCCUCUCCCACUGCUUGGACCUGACCCAGGCUUGAAGUUUGCAGUGGGCAAGAAGUAUGGACAGGAUUGCCAAAUAACACACAGGGUGCCCAGCUUAAUGUGAGUUCCAGAAAGCAACAAAUGCUUUUAAUAGAAUAACGUUCCAAAUAUUGCAUAGGAUGUGCUGAUAUUAUAAAAGCAUCCAUUGUUCAUCUAAAAUUCAAAUUUAACUGGGCAUCUGUACUUUUAUUUGCUAAAUCUGGCAAUCCUAGGUAGAAGGGCAGUAUUACUUUCUUCUGUGUUGCUCACUGUGCCAGAUGAAGACACGGAAAGGGUAGAAUGAAGGGGAAGGAAAGAUCUGGGCCUGCAAAGUUUUCACCUGCCAUCAGCAUCCUCUUCAUAUGUCAUAUGUCCAAGGUUGAUUUGUGGGAGAACCUCCAUCACUGGGGAUGUUUUUCUGUACUUUCCCUGACCUGGAAGAUGCCUCAUUUGGCUGACCACUGACAGCUGUCUGCUCAGCACCUGGCUCCUGCCUGUCCACUCUUUAUUAAGGUCAUUUUUCAUCCUUCCAUAUGGGACUAUUGGGGUUGGGAACUUUUGAAAUCCACCUGUUAGCAGCUCUCUUCCACAGAAUCCAAUUUGGGUCACAGAAAACCACAUCUUUGCCCCACUAAUCCCUGGAAGCCUUGGCCAACCUUGACUCUUUGUCCUGCGACCAGGCAGGCUGCUCCAGCCAGCUUUUGCUUCAGACCUUUUAUCCAGGGGUCAAUCAGUCACCAGGUACAAGACUGUCCCUGCAAACUCUGAGGGUCUUCCUAGCAUCCUCCUCACUCCAUUUAGGCUGAGUAGGAGGAGUCUUCCUCCCCUCCAGCACUAGGGAUGGGGUGGGAAACACAGCACUGCUCCAAAGCAGUGCCCAACACAGGCUCCUUCGUUAAUUCUCGAGACUGGAGGUAGUUAAAGCCUAAGGAUGGAAGAAUCACUUUGGGGCCACCCAUUUGGCAAGCCCUGCAUCGAUUUCUAGAAUGUGUUUACAACGUAGAGGCGCUUUGUACCUAUUGUUCUUGGCUUUGGAUGUUCUCAGCCUUUGUGUCUCAGUUGAAUUUCAGGCCUUAAGAAAUCUAUUUUAACAAUCGAUUACAUAACUGAAAGUGGUUAUAUAAUUGUAUUGUGAAGAUGAGAGGGGAAAGUCUGUGUGUGUGUGUAUGUGUGUGUGUGUGUGUGUGUGUGUGUGUGUGUGUGUAGGGGGCAAGGGAUUGCCAUAAACCCAGAUCUUCAUUUAUCAAAACAGGAGGCAGAAAAGAGUGUCUGAAACUUAGAAAUACCAGAAAGAAGAUCCAAGUUACUGAAAAUGCAUGUCUUUGGGGAAUGAAACUGGGAGUUUGAAGAUUAGUGGAGACAAAAUACUAAUUUUUUCAUUAUGUGCCUUUUAGUACUAUUUCUUAAACAAAUCUAUUACUUUGAUAAUAAUGAAAAAUAUUUAAAGACUACAUUUUGCCAGAACCACAAAAAAACUAUGUAGUUAUUAAAAAGAAUGAGGCAGGGAGUUCUCAUCGUGGUACAGUGGAAAUGAAUCCGACUAGGAAUCAUGAGGUUGUGAGUUCGAUCCCAGGCCUCGCUCAGUGGGUUAAGGAUCUGGUGUUGCUGUGAGCCCUGGUGUAGGCCGGCAGCUAUGGCUCCAAAUCGACCCCUAGCCUAGGAACCUCCAUAUGCCAUGAGUGUGGCUCUAAAAACCAAAAAAAAAAAAAAAAAAGACAGAUCUACAUAAUAAUGAUAGGUAAUGCUUAUGUAGUAUUUGAGGAACAUUGGACAUAGUAUAAAUUCUGGGCAUAUGUGUAUUUGUUUGCUAGAGCUGCUGUAACAAAGUACCACAAACUAGGUAGCUUUAAACAACGGGUAUUUGUUGUCUGCAGGUCAGAAGUCAGAAGUCAAGGUGUUGGGGGGUCCAUGCUCCCCCUGAAACCUGUGGAGGAGGAUGCUUCCUUGCCUCUUUCAGCUUCUGGUUGUCCCAGAUAUUCUUUGAUUUCUGGCAGCAUAACUUCCAUCUUCCCAUGGUCUUCUCUCUAUGUGUGUGUCUGUGUCCAAAUUUCCCCUUUUUAUAAGAACACCAGUCAGGGAAUUCCCACUGUGGCUCAGUGGGUUAAAAAUCUGACUAGUGUCCAUGAAGAUGCAGGUUCGAUCCCUGGCCUUGCUCAGUGGGUUAAGGAUCUGGCAUUUCAAGAACUAUGACAUAAGUUCCAGUCACAGCUUGGAUCCGGUGUGGCUGUGGCUGUGGCGCAGGCCAGCAGCUACAGCUCCAAUGCAACCCCUAGUCUGAGAACUUCCAUUUGCCACAGAGAAGAAAACAAAACCAAAACCAAAAGGCUAGUCAUCUUGGAUUUGGGUCCACCCCAAUAACCUCAUUUUAAUUUGGUUAUCUCUGUAAAUAUCCUAUUUUCAAAUAAGAUCCCACUCUGAGGUCCUGUGGUGGGGGUGCAGGAUUUCUAACAUAUUUCUGGGAGGAAACCCAGUUCAGCUCAUUAACACCAGUGAGAUGGAUACCAUUGUUAGAUCCACUUUGCAGAUAAGGAAAUCAGAGCACUGAGAGAUUAGAUAAUUUGGUCAAGAACACCUGCCUAUGUAAUAAUGGUACUGGAAUUUAAGGCCAGGAAAUCUGGCUUCCAAAUCCUAUGCUUUUAGCCCCUAGACCAUGUGCUCUCUCUCCAACUUAAAUAUACAAAACAAGGCGAGAGCAAAGCAUAGAGUAUGCUGUCAUUUAGGUGGGAAAAAAAAAAAAUGGAGAUAACUAUUACAUCCGUGCUUACCUAUACACAGUACAUGUUUAGAAGAAUGCCCAAGAACCUGACAACUGUUUCACCUCUGGAGAGGAGAAGGUGGGGCAAGGAAGUGAGUCCUGAAUAUAUAUUCUUUUAAAACUUUGGAGUUCCCGUCGUGGCGCAGUGGAAAUGAAUCCGACUAGGAACCAUGAGGUUGCAGGUUCUAUCCCUGGCCUUGCUCAGUGGGUUAAGGAUCCGAUGUUGCUGUGAGCUGUGGUGUAGACCAGCAGCUACAGCCUGAUUGGACCCUAGCCUGGGAACCUCCAUAUCCUGUGGGUGCAGCCCUAAAAAGACAAAAGACAAAAAAUAAAUAAAAUAAAUUUAAAAAUAAAACUUUGAAGUUUACUGGGAGUUUUUUGUUCAUUUGCCAUGUAUAGGAAUUAAUUUAAAAUCUUUCAGUUUGGUGUAACGGAAACGAAUCCGACUAGGAACCACAAGGUUUUGGGUUCCAUCCCUAGCCUCGCUCAGUGGGUUAAGGAUCUGGCAUUGCCGUGAGCUGUGGUGUGGGUGGCAGGCGCGGCUCGGAUCUGAUGUGGCUGUGGCUCUGGCGUAGGCUGGCAGCAACAUCUCUGAUUAGACCCCUAGCCUGGAAACCUCCAUAUGCCGCUAGUGUGGCCCUAAAAAGCAAAAAAAAAAAAAAAAAAAAAAAAAAAACUUUCAGUUAAAAAUGAAAGCAGGAGUUCCUGCUGUGGUACAGAAGGUUGAGGAUCUAGUGUUUUGUCUUCAGAGGCGAGGGUUCAAUCCCCAGCCCAGCACAGUGGGUUAAGGAUCUGAUAUUGCCACAGCUAUGGCAUAGGUCGCAGCUGCAACUCAGUUUUGAUCCCUGGCCUGGGAACUUCCAUAUGUCACAGGUGCAGCCAAAAAUAAAAAUGAAAAUGAAAGCUAGAGGUAUGUUCUUUAACUAAUGCCAUCCCCCCAGAUUCCAGGGGCUAAUACACUGUGGAAGUGUAUAUGGAAUCUGUUUGGGGGAAAUGAUCUAAGCCUUGCUUUCCAGACACCAUCUUUAAGGAAGACAGUUGCUUUGAAGGGCUGUUUUGGUGGCUGUAGAACUUUAGAUAGUGCAUUAUUUUGCUUCCAUUACACUUUUAUGUUCGUGUAGAAUUUAAUGAUCAUGGGAAACAUAAAAUAUUACAUGAGCUUGGGGAGUUCCUGUUGUGGCUCAGGGCGUUAUGACCCCACCUAGUAUCCAUGAGGAUCCGGGUUCCAUCCCCGGCCUUGCUCAGUGGGUUAAGGAUCCGGAGUUACUGUGGCUGUGGUGUAGGCCGGCAGCUGUAGCUCUGAUUUGACCCUAAAUCUGGGAACUUCCAUAUGCCUAAUGUGCAGCCCUAAAAAGCAAAAAAAAAAAAAAAAAAAAAAGGCGAGACAGAAAUAGAUGUAAAUCGUAGCCAUGAUUAUUUUAGAUGAGAGUGAAAGAAUUAUGGAUGACAUUUAUUUAUUUUGCACUUUUUCUUGUUUUUUAUUUAAGUCCAAAGAUAGAAUUUAAAACACUUCUUAAAAUUACUGUGUUUUUGAAGGGCUGGACCCAUUCCCACAUGGACUGGCCCUGCCUGCCCAGAGGACAGUCCAGUGGUGACAUGCGUGUGAGCCCAGGAGGUCUCUCUCCUUCAAAGUCAGCCUAGGAGGCCUUCCCCCUAUAGCUCAAGGGGAUUGGGUGUUGUUUCUGCAGUGCCAGGGCACAGAUUCAAUCCCCAGCCAGACACAGUGGAUUAAAGGAUCCAGUGUUGCCA
RNAcentral lists this long non-coding RNA (5088 nucleotides) under Sus scrofa (pig). RNAcentral's name for it is "lncRNA (ENSSSCG00000058495.1)". Lineage: Eukaryota; Metazoa; Chordata; Mammalia; Artiodactyla; Suidae. The record is from RNAcentral.